GCCGCUGACCUUGGGCAGCCUAAGUGAGCUGCGGAGAUAUUUUUUUUUAAAGUCUCUCUUCUGCUUUGCUCCCCAGCUCCUCGACUGCAGAAGAGUUCUAGGGUGGCACACCCCUACAUAUUGGCGGCAAUUGAUAUGCUUGAAUACACACACGAUAGGGAAGCGGUGGAAAAUAUGGGAAAUUUAAAAUGGACAGGUGGCCGCGCGAUCACCCAGUGUGCUUCUAGCACGCAGUUUCCACCACUUGGGUCCGCUACUAAAGCGAGUGCCUCCAGGACAGGGAAGACCCCAGCAGCCCGGUGGCGAAAUAAACUGAUAAGGAAACUGAGGCCCAGAGAUGCAUGUUAUCUGAAGUGCCAGAGCCCAGGGUCUUGAACUCAAACUGAUUCCAGUUAGAAUAAAUGAAUGAGGCCGGGCCUGGUAGCUCAUGCCUGUAAUCCCAGAA
Long non-coding RNA from Macaca mulatta (Rhesus monkey), 445 nucleotides. RefSeq lists it as uncharacterized. The record is from RefSeq and is a predicted model, not a curated record. Lineage: Eukaryota; Metazoa; Chordata; Mammalia; Primates; Cercopithecidae.